RNAcentral lists this ribosomal RNA (400 nucleotides) under uncultured bacterium. RNAcentral describes it as "bacterial SSU rRNA". It matches the Rfam family "Bacterial small subunit ribosomal RNA", at positions 355 to 746 of the family's 1533-position model. The record is from RNAcentral.
UGGGGGAUAUUGGACAAUGGGGGCAACCCUGAUCCAGCGAUGCCGCGUGUGUGAAGAAGGCCUGCGGGUUGUAAAGCACUUUCAGUGGGGAGGAGGGUAAGCGAGUUAAAAGCUAGAGUUACUGGACGUUACCCACAGAAGAAGCACCGGCAAACUCCGUGCCAGCAGCCGCGGUAAUACGGAGGGUGCGAGCGUUAAUCGGAAUUACUGGGCGUAAAGGGUGCGUAGGCGGUUUAAUAAGUUAUAUGUGAAAUACUUGGGCUUAACCUAGGUGCUGCAUGUAAUACUGUUAGGCUAGAGUAUGGUAGAGGGUAGUGGAAUUUCCGGUGUAGCGGUGAAAUGCGUAGAGAUCGGGAGGAACACUGGUGGCGAAGGCGGCUACCUGGACCAAUACUGACGC